RNAcentral lists this ribosomal RNA (250 nucleotides) under uncultured bacterium. RNAcentral's name for it is "partial 16S ribosomal RNA". It matches the Rfam family "Bacterial small subunit ribosomal RNA", at positions 524 to 774 of the family's 1533-position model. The record is from RNAcentral.
UACGUAGGGGGCUAGCGUUAUCCGGAUUUACUGGGCGUAAAGGGUGCGUAGGUGGUUUUUUAAGUCAGGAGUGAAAGGCUACGGCUCAACCGUAGUAAGCUCUUGAAACUGGAAAACUUGAGUGCAGGAGAGGAAAGUGGAAUUCCUAGUGUAGCGGUGAAAUGCGUAGAUAUUAGGAGGAACACCAGUAGCGAAGGCGGCUUUCUGGACUGUAACUGACACUGAGGCACGAAAGCGUGGGGAGCAAACA